RNAcentral lists this long non-coding RNA (538 nucleotides) under Dromaius novaehollandiae (emu). RNAcentral's name for it is "lncRNA (ENSDNVG00000017965.1)". The record is from RNAcentral. Lineage: Eukaryota; Metazoa; Chordata; Aves; Casuariiformes; Dromaiidae.
UCCCAUCCUAAAUAGCUCUCCCUCCCCUUCUCUUGAACCCCAGGAAGUUACAACACUCUCAGACCUSCGAGCCCAACUGCGACCAAAUUGUUCCUCAGUCAGACUUGCCAGUGAAAGAAAGCCUUGCAUUUGCCAGAAUGCUUUCAGAUUGUCAUCUUUGCCAGCCAAAGCAGUCUCUUCUUGUCUGCUUCCAAGAAGCAUGAGCUUAAACAACUGGUCUCAGAGUGGGGUGUAUCUACAGUCUUAGCCAUGAGGAGAGGUGAUGAAAUGUUCUCCUCUUCAGUAUAUGCAGAAGAGACUGGAGCUUAGCUCCUAUCUUCAUAACAGUAAAACUACAGUGAAAUCUGAAUUCUUUGUUCAUGUUUCACUGCCUACUUUGAGGAAAACAGUGAUCAUGAGAUCAGACGUCAGCCUCAGGGAAGGACUACUUUGCAUUCAGGAAGUUGCUCGUUUUGUGAUUAGCAUCACCAUGGCCCCGGAGGGAAGGGAUGGCACUGUCUGGAUAGAUUUCAGAUCUGCUGAGGGAACUUGCACCUGA